RNAcentral lists this ribosomal RNA (370 nucleotides) under Staphylococcus aureus. RNAcentral describes it as "partial 23S ribosomal RNA". It matches the Rfam family "Bacterial large subunit ribosomal RNA", at positions 1581 to 1952 of the family's 2925-position model. Lineage: Bacteria; Bacillati; Bacillota; Bacilli; Caryophanales; Staphylococcaceae. The record is from RNAcentral.
UGUCUUCGAGUCGUUGAUUUCACACUGCCGAGAAAAGCCUCUAGAUAGAAAAUAGGUGCCCGUACCGCAAACCGACACAGGUAGUCAAGAUGAGAAUUCUAAGGUGAGCGAGCGAACUCUCGUUAAGGAACUCGGCAAAAUGACCCCGUAACUUCGGGAGAAGGGGUGCUCUUUAGGGUUAACGCCCAGAAGAGCCGCAGUGAAUAGGCCCAAGCGACUGUUUAUCAAAAACACAGGUCUCUGCUAAACCGUAAGGUGAUGUAUAGGGGCUGACGCCUGCCCGGUGCUGGAAGGUUAAGAGGAGUGGUUAGCUUCUGCGAAGCUACGAAUCGAAGCCCCAGUAAACGGCGGCCGUAACUAUAACGGUCCU